CCGCUUGAGUGGAAUUCAUUAGAAAUUAACUACCACUUAAAUUAAUUUUCCCACAGUCACAAGGCUGUAAUGGCGGGAGAAGGGGCCGUCCAUCAGUGGGUGCUGACAGGGGACCUGUCACCGCCGUUAUUUAUAGGUGCGUGUGUCAACCCCUAGAGCAGGCGCCGGGCCAAACUCAGAGCCUCCGGACUGACAAAGCCACUUCAAAGGCCCGAAAAUUCCCGUGUGGAUAAGUAAUCCAGCCUUGCCGAGCCUGGCCCUUCCAGGGCCCGGAGGAGGGGCAACCUGGGCGAUGCUGACAGACCAGAGGGACCCGUCUUUGUUUCAAACCCACACUGGGACACACAAGUCCUUGCAAGCUGGAAUCUCUGGGUACAGGGCCCUCUCCAGGGGAAAAGCUUGCAAGGAACAAGUGGAUCUCAUGUGGAAAGGCAGAGCAUGUGUGGACAGUGAAAGCACAAAAAAGGCUGCAGCAUUUCUGGGGCUUCUGCUUCUAUGGUUGAGCGCAUAUUUGAUUCGGAACCGGUGGGCCAUGAUCAACGGAAAGGGCUGAGAGAAAGGCCCCUGCAGGCCAGGAGGGGCAGGUACCAGGUGGGAAGAUCUCAUGGCAGGUAGAACCAGGAGGUCAGGAGC
This 633-nucleotide long non-coding RNA is filed under the name Callithrix jacchus (white-tufted-ear marmoset). Its description in RNAcentral is "lncRNA (ENSCJAG00000065920.2)". Lineage: Eukaryota; Metazoa; Chordata; Mammalia; Primates; Cebidae. The record is from RNAcentral.